GGCGCCCGGUGCAGUCGCUGUGCUGGGGUGGUGCCCGCCGGUGCGCAGGUGGGGGAGCAGGAGCGGAGCAGGGCGCCUCGCGCGUGCGUGUGCAGUCGCGUGAGGGAGGCACGCGGCCCGGGUGCUCGGUCCCUCUCGCCAUGCUCUGACGCCAUGGGCAUAAAACGUCUUUGCGGGGAGGGGAAGAGGCGUUAGCGUUGGCGUUUGGGCUAGGGUAGGGUAAAGGGUGUCCGUGUCAGAUCAGGGGAGGGGAGGGGCGAGGGGGUGGGGGAAGAAGGAGGCGGCCGGCCGGUGAGGUGGCUUAGGUUAGGUCCAUGGCGGAGAGGCCGGAGGGCGAAGCUAAAGCGCGAGGCCGCUGCGUUAGCCCGCUCGUCUUAGGCGAGGGUUAAAAAAGUCGAAAAAAAUGGGGUAGUAAGGUAGCGACUAAGCUCGCGGCUCUUUCCAAGCCCCAACUCGUUUUGGGACGGACGAAGCACAAGACAUUAGUGCGACUAUGGGCUUAAGACAGGGACUUAACUAGGCGAGGUACUUGUAAACUACGUUGUCGCUCGCGCUUAGGAUGGAUGGUUCGGCCACAACUCUUCGUCAAGCAAGGACACGGGAAACCACUCACCGUUACCGUCGCCGUCCCUCUGACGCCCCUGCCGCCGCCCGCGAGUUCCUCCACCUCGCGCUCGGGCUCGGCAAGUGGUAGCUCCUCCUCCACAGGGUGGAGUGGGCCCAAGCCAGCCUCGGCACGGGGCCGUGGGCGCGGCGGUAGGUACCGCGGUCCGCCUUCUCCCUGAAGAGCCGAAAGCUCUACGACAGCAGCUCCCUCAGGCCGGAGAGCCCUCCGCCGCCCAAGACAAGCCGGCUGGCGCGGAUGCGGCGGCCCUUCGUGGAGGGCAGCCUUCCUGGCACCACGCACCUUCUGUACCUAUCGCUCCGGAUACAGAGCGUCAAGAGGUCGCUACCGAGCGACGAGCAACGGCCCAAAGCCCCUUCGGCGUAGUCUCAAAUGCUACGGCUAUCUCCCACCUUCCAAGUAUUCUUGUAUUCGACGUCUUCAUACUCCACCUGCCAAAGUCUAUAACGAGAGAGGGGACUGGUCGCUAUGGAACGGAUAAGGUCAAACAGCGGAUAACAAGUGUAACACUUACACGUCUUACGACCUUCUCUUAGCCUACGAUUACAAUGACUUUAAGUGCUCCCAAACCUUAAGACACUACUGCUACUUAUGAGAAAGCCCUAUAAGAGACACUUUAAAAGUUUUCUACCAUCUCUUCAUCAACAACCCUUGUUACUAACAAGUUAUGUACAGAUACUAGAACCUCGUUUAUUUCACAGACUGGCAUAGGCACGAGUAUGCAGACUACAGUUGUGCCAGUGGAAACGCCUACUUUCACCGUUAAACAACAUGAGACCUUCACUACUAUUAGAGACAUUCCAGACCCUAUCCGCAACGGAACAUUCUCUCUUUGGUCGUCCACAAAACUGUCCAGUGAAUCUACCCUAAUGUACAUAACUAUCGGCACCACUACCCGCAAUAGAUUAGAGGUUGACGUUCCUAGUCUGAUAGUUUGAAACCCUGCAGUCUUUCUACAGGCGGUGACAUUUUCCUGCUGUUGGUUCUAAUAUACUGACCCUGAUGUCUACCUACUGCAAGGGUAGUGUACGAUCUAUAAUAUUCGUAGGUUUACUAGACAGAGACCGUUGUAUGUCCCCAGUAAGUCAAGACGCCUGUGAAUAGGCGACGAUGAAGAGAGGUUACGUGUCGUGCCCGGUCUCCAUGUAUAUGUGACCUAGUUCACUGCUAAGUCACGUAUAAAUGCUACACCAUUGGCCCCGCUGGCACUUCUUCGAGAGCACCGUGCCAAGCUAGUAGUCUCUGACGUGGACCGUAGGAAUAACAGGUUGCGAGCAUUCGAGAAGGACCCUGCCGAUAGACCGGGCCACCCUCCGUAGUCCACUGUUGCUCCUGGGGAGCCACGAGUGCACGCUGCUCGUCUCCUGAUCGGGAAUGCUGGUCUGUAUGCCCGAGAGAAAACGGGACAUCAUUCAACGUCUCCUGUACCGCACUAUUCGUCUCGGCUCCGCUCGAGCACUACUUGGAAAUACAACCCAACACCGCCAAAUACUAACUACACGAACAUACCGUCAUAUUCGUGUUCGUCAGUACGUAACAUACAGACUCCGUUGAACACGAGGAGAACGACAGUGACUAUCUUUUAUCACUACAAUUGUUCUACAUCGGCAACGAAAACAUUUAAACAAACGUCAGCUAGUCCACCGCAGUCACUGUUUCAGCAUACAUUGAUACGUUCAAAAAACAACAACAACUCUCUUAACAUUGAUACGUUCAAUUAUUACGUACACGUAAGACAACGGUAUGUCUUUACAUAUAAAUCACUACUCAUUUAUUGCGACCACUACGUUGUUGAACUGGACGCCCACACCAAAGUAGGGGU
This 2447-nucleotide ribosomal RNA is filed under the name Triticum aestivum (bread wheat). RNAcentral's name for it is "partial small subunit ribosomal RNA". The record is from RNAcentral. Lineage: Eukaryota; Viridiplantae; Streptophyta; Magnoliopsida; Poales; Poaceae.